GACGAACGCUGGCGGCGUGCUUAACACAUGCAAGUCGAACGGAAAGGCCCUGCCUUUGUGGGGUAUUCGAGUGGCGAACGGGUGAGUAACACGUAGGUAACCUGCCCUUGCCUUCGGGAUAAGUCCGGGAAACGGGGCCUAAUACCGGAUAGGACUACCUUUUGAAUGGUGGGGGGGGAAAUGUUUCGGCGGUGGGGGAUGGCCCCGCGGUUUAGCGGCUUGUUGGGGGGGUGGCGGCUUACAGAGGCUUCGAGGGGUCGCCGGACUGAGGGGGUGACCGGCCACAUUGGGACAGAGAUGGCGCCCAGACUCAUGCGGGGGGGAGGAGUGGAGUAUAUUGCACGAUGGGCGGAAGCCUGGUGCAGCAACGCCGCGUGCGAGAAGACGGUCUUCGGGGUGUAAACCGCUUUCUCCUGAGAAGAAGCGUGAGUGACGGUAAUGGGUAAAGAAGCACCGGCUAACUACGUG
Molecule: ribosomal RNA, 468 nt
Filed under: uncultured bacterium
Lineage: Bacteria
Description: partial 16S ribosomal RNA
Rfam family: Bacterial small subunit ribosomal RNA
Source: RNAcentral